Arachis ipaensis is the source of this 1515-nucleotide non-coding RNA. The record is from RefSeq and is a predicted model, not a curated record. Lineage: Eukaryota; Viridiplantae; Streptophyta; Magnoliopsida; Fabales; Fabaceae.
AAACUUAUCAGCUGUUUUCUCUCUCUAGAAAUUCCCACCAACUCGUAGCUCAUUCUCCAUUUCUCGCUGGAAAAAACACAUUCUCGGUGGUGAAAGGUUACAGUGAGAAGAAGAAUCGGAACUGGCGGCAGAAGGAGGUUCCGAUCAAUUCAUCGACAUCAUUAAGCUCUCUCUUCCGGCAAAGUUCCCGGCGGCAUUCCCCCAGGACCUCAAGGUGGUUCCCUCCUUGAAGCGCCGCCGCUCUGGCGGUGACACGUGGGUGGUGUCAGUGUUCGUGAUCAUCCACGUGGGCGUCUUCAUCGCAACGGCGACUGCGCCCUAAAAACCCUCGGAAGGUUCUCCUUCCAACCUCUCUCUGAGAAUCCUCUCUUAGGCCCUUCUAAGCCCAAAUUAGAGGAAAUGGGAGCGCUUCGGAGGAUUUUCGUGACAGAGUAUCACCAAACUUGGCGUCUUUUCACCUCUUCAUUUCUUCAUGCUGGGCUCUUCCACGGUUCCACCUCCUCAAUCUCUGCAGUAUCAUCUUCAUCGGAAUUCGCCUAGAGCGUGAGCUUGGACCGUUAGGUGUAAUCUAUGCAAUGUCUGCAUUUGGGGGAGCCUUGAUGGCUUCUCUUUUUCUUCAGCACACCCCAGCUGUUGCCUCUUCUGGGGCUUUGUAUGGAUUACUAGGAACUUUACUCUCUGAGCUCAUUUGGAACUGGGAAUUACAAACCAAAAGGGUUUCAGCAAUAGUCUCUUUUGUCUUUGUAUUUGUUUGCAAUUUCAUCCUUGCUUACUGCCUUAUGUCCUCAACUUUGCGAGCGUUGGAGGUUUCGUAUCAGGGUUCCUUCUUGGAUCUGUACUUCUACUCAGCAGAAAGCUUGAACUGCCAAAGGUUCCAAUCAAAUUAAAGGAACUCUCUUUGAUUAUGGUGUCAACUGUCAAGAGUUACAUCAAGUUAAAGUUGAAGCAAAACAUGGACAGACCGGUUCUCAGGAUUGUUUCUCUUAUCCUCUUUAGCCUGAUGUAUGUUACUUGUUUCUUUAUCCUUGAAUUCAAUUUGCAUGCCUAGCUGUCUUGUAUUAUUACUGCUUUCUAGCAUGAGUCAAAAUAUUAAGACUUUGCAGAUUUGGCCGGUUGUCUUGUGGCAGUUCUUCAUGGGAUCAACAUCAAUAGUUAUUGCACAUGGUGCCCAUAUGUUGAUUGUAUCCCUUAUACAAGCUGGCACUGCCAAAAUAGAGAAACCUCUUGUAAGUUCCACAUCGAAAGCAUGAUACAAGACACAAUACAUCUGGCAUUUGAAGUCUUACAUCGACGGAAGAGGAGUGUGAGGAGUCUUCAAUACGCUAUAAAAGGCGAGACACUACAACAAUUUAAAGAUACUUACCUGGACGGGGUCAAUGGGCGAUCAAGAAGACCCAUGGCUUAGGCUGGUGGCUUCCAUUGCACUUUGGAAGGGUGCUCGCCUAAGGUCUACCCAAGUGGUGGAGCCUACGUCAUAAUUUGUGGUAGUGGGACCUGCGUUCGCGCGGUCCCUAU